GAUGAACGCUGGCGGCGUGCCUAAUACAUGCAAGUCGAGCGAACAGAUGAGGAGCUUGCUCCUCUGACGUUAGCGGCGGACGGGUGAGUAACACGUGGAUAACCUACCUAUAAGACUGGGAUAACUUCGGGAAACCGGAGCUAAUACCGGAUAAUAUAUUGAACCGCAUGGUUCAAUAGUGAAAGACGGUUUUGCUGUCACUUAUAGAUGGAUCCGCGCCACAUUAGCUAGUUGGUAAGGUAACGGCUUACCAAGGCAACGAUGCGUAGCCGACCUGAGAGAGUGAUCGCCCACACUGGAACUGAAGCACAGUCCAGACUCCUACGGGAGGCACCAGUAGGGAAUCUUCCGCAAUAGGCGAAAGCCUGACGGAGCAACGCCGCGUGAGUUAUGAAGGUCUUCGGAUCGUAAAACUCUGUUAUUGGGGAAGAACAAAUGUGUAAGUAGCUAUGCACGUCUUGACGGUACCUAAUCAGAAAGCCACGGCUAACUACGUG
This 497-nucleotide ribosomal RNA is filed under the name uncultured bacterium. Its description in RNAcentral is "partial 16S ribosomal RNA". It matches the Rfam family "Bacterial small subunit ribosomal RNA", at positions 28 to 507 of the family's 1533-position model. The record is from RNAcentral.